GCCGACGUAGCUCAGGCGGUAGAGCAACUGAUUCGUAAUCAGUAGGUCGGGAGUUCGACUCUCCCCGUCGGCUCCA
RNAcentral lists this transfer RNA (76 nucleotides) under Pseudomonadota bacterium. Its description in RNAcentral is "Proteobacteria bacterium (cold seep metagenome) tRNA-Thr". It matches the Rfam family "tRNA". Rfam says of the family: Transfer RNA (tRNA) molecules are approximately 80 nucleotides in length. Their secondary structure includes four short double-helical elements and three loops (D, anti-codon, and T loops). The record is from RNAcentral. RNAcentral also lists the same sequence under 1 other name. Lineage: Bacteria; Pseudomonadati; Pseudomonadota.